UUACAUCAAUUUCAAUAAUGGUUUUUAUAGCGCCUCUUCGCCAGAUGUCAUCUGGGAGUGUUCCUGGCUCUUCUGGAGAGAACAUGAUUUACUAUCUCCUAACUGGUGUUGCUGCUUUUGGUGGUUUAUUUUAUGCCUACAGAGUAGUCACUUCAUCCCGCACCAAGUAUAUUGAACAUCUGAAUAUUCUUCAGGAGAGAGCUGAAGGGCGGAAAAACAAACCUUGGUCAAGCAAGGGUGAUGAAGAAGAGACGGCUGAAGUCACUGAAGCAGAGACAGCCACGGAAGAGGCUGAUGCGGUAGCUGCUGCUGCACCCGCAGCACAGGACGAGAGGGCUGGGGUACCCCCAGAAACUGGAGGGGAGAAUGACUUACCGGCUCCAGAUGCACCCCCUGCUGUGGAGGAAGCACAGCAGGAAGCUGCUGCUAAUUUGGAAGUUGCUGCUAAUUCAGAAGCUGCUGCAGUACAAGAAACUGUGAGUGAAGCCUUGGAUGUUGCAGCUUCUUCUGCCCAGGAGGAAAACUUAGACAGUGUCAAGGAAGGAGUAGACUCAGCAGCUCAAGACAUAUCUGACACACCCUCAAGGAACCAGGACGUUGAUGCUGAGGAGUCGGGACAAGCUCCAGAAGGUGCAGGAGCACAGCUGGUUUCUGUGGAGGAGGAGACACCUGAAGAAGUUGCUAAGGAACCCUAAAGGUACACAGUACAAUUGCAACAUGUGGUUUCCUGCUCUUCACCCUUCUUUUUUUCUCAGUUAGUGGCAGUUGCAGCAUGUGUAAGCAGUGCUGAAGCCUUUGAAAACUUUAAUGGAAAUACUUGUGGCAAUCAUCCAUCUGAUUCCUGUGUGAAACCUCAUACUCUUCCUUGGAGACGUAAAAGAAAUUGUGCAGUUUGUCAUACCACACAGUGCUCAUUAGGACCAGUAUUCAGUGCUGCAACAGACAUCCUAAUAUGAUUUAAGUUGGUUAGAGAGACGCUUCUGUGAUUAACAUCUCUGCUUUAGAAAGUAGCAUUCAGUAAUAACUGUCAGAGCACCAUCCAGCAUGUAAUAGAUACACGUGCUAAGAGAUGCAGUAGACUUAACUGAGACCACGUCAGGCGAACUUGUUCCAGGUCUUUGUUGUCUUGUUAUGUACGUCGAUUUCUUACUUUUGGUCCAAACUGUGGUGCAUAAUUAUACCAUUGUAACAUUCCAUGCUAAAAUGUAAGUAAAAGGUUUUAACUAUGUUAAAAUCUUACACAAAUUACCUGUUAGUAUUUUUAAUUUCUAACAGGUAAUUUAAAUUCUAACAGAGUCACGGAGAAAAUAAUAACCUUGUUUGCUCCCAAGUUUGGAUUUGCAAUUGUAAGCAUAGGACAUCUGGAUGUAUAAGAUCUAAUUUUCCCUGUGCAUAAACAUUUUAGAUGCUACCCUUCCUUGCACAGUAAUAUCCAGGAGUAAACAUUUUUAAGGCUCCUGCUUUGUGAACAAAACCCAUUUGCAAGUAGUAGCAAUAGGUACUUUAUAGCACAAAACCCCAAGUAACACCAGCUGAAGUUAUUAUCAUCAUUGAUCAAAGUGGUGGCUCCUACCUUGGGGCUGCUGGGCCCCAUUCCCACCAAACCUUACUCAGCUUGCUGUAGUCUUUCUGUGUUGUUCUGUCUUAGCAGUGGCAUGCAGCAGUGGCGUAACAACACAGAGGUUUGAGAGACCACUCUUGUACAAAUCACGAGCAAUUUAGGCUAUGGCAAAGCUCCUCUCUGAGCGCUUGCAGGUGGCCAGCAACAUCCCUGUGGAAGGCUAUGCCACAGGUGUUCAAAUGGACAAGGAUUCUUAGGGACUAAUAAAGAACAGAAUAGCUAAAUAAUCUUGUCUUGUUAGUAUUAUCUUAACAAUAAAUGAAUAAUGCUCUCCUAACACUCCACUGUGUGUUGGGCAUGUGCAUGAGUGUGCAUCUACUACGAGACUUUCACUGAGACCCUCACCUGCUAAAAAGCAUUACAGCCAUCACAGAAUGGUGAUCAUUCUAAACCAGAGCCAAAUAAGGUAUAUUAUACACAAUGCAUAUAGAAAGUGUGAAUUAUAAGGUGGAUCUGACCGCUUUCUGUUCAAGGAGAACUUUGGAAAAAUGUUGAAAGGGAAAUUACAGCAUUAUGACAUUCCUACCCAUGGCACAAAGAAACAUGGGCUCCUUCCCCCAUCGUAAAGCAAAUUAUAAUAGUGCUCCAACAAAAAUACAGCCUAUUGCCCCUGUACCUGCUUAGGAAUAACUGGAAUAAUGCAGAGGCAGAGUCAGGCUCCUGAGCUUCAAGAAGCCACACCACAGCCUUCUGCUUAAAGGAUAAAGCCACUGUGAUUAAAAGCAAUUUUUGUAGACAAAGCUGCUGAAAUAAAAGUCUUAGACUGAUA
RNA transcript from Athene cunicularia (burrowing owl), 2390 nucleotides. It is a transcript of the gene named mitochondria localized glutamic acid rich protein, with no coding region annotated. The record is from RefSeq and is a predicted model, not a curated record. The transcript has 6 exons. NCBI's taxonomy places the organism in Eukaryota, Metazoa, Chordata, Aves, Strigiformes, Strigidae.